Molecule: ribosomal RNA, 1307 nt
Filed under: Shigella boydii
Lineage: Bacteria; Pseudomonadati; Pseudomonadota; Gammaproteobacteria; Enterobacterales; Enterobacteriaceae
Also listed under: 1 other name
Description: bacterial SSU rRNA
Rfam family: Bacterial small subunit ribosomal RNA
Source: RNAcentral
CUUGUUGGUGGGGUAACGGCUCACCAAGGCGACGAUCCCUAGCUGGUCUGAGAGGAUGACCAGCCACACUGGAACUGAGACACGGUCCAGACUCCUACGGGAGGCAGCAGUGGGGAAUAUUGCACAAUGGGCGCAAGCCUGAUGCAGCCAUGCCGCGUGUAUGAAGAAGGCCUUCGGGUUGUAAAGUACUUUCAGCGGGGAGGAAGGGAGUAAAGUUAAUACCUUUGCUCAUUGACGUUAUCCGCAGAAGAAGCACCGGCUAACUCCGUGCCAGCAGCCGCGGUAAUACGGAGGGUGCAAGCGUUAAUCGGAAUUACUGGGCGUAAAGCGCACGCAGGCGGUUUGUUAAGUCAGAUGUGAAAUCCCCGGGCUCAACCUGGGAACUGCAUCUGAUACUGGCAAGCUUGAGUCUCGUAGAGGGGGGUAGAAUUCCAGGUGUAGCGGUGAAAUGCGUAGAGAUCUGGAGGAAUACCGGUGGCGAAGGCGGCCCCCUGGACGAAGACUGACGCUCAGGUGCGAAAGCGUGGGGAGCAAACAGGAUUAGAUACCCUGGUAGUCCACGCCGUAAACGAUGUCGACUUGGAGGUUGUGCCCUUGAGGCGUGGCUUCCGGAGCUAACGCGUUAAGUCGACCGCCUGGGGAGUACGGCCGCAAGGUUAAAACUCAAAUGAAUUGACGGGGGCCCGCACAAGCGGUGGAGCAUGUGGUUUAAUUCGAUGCAACGCGAAGAACCUUACCUGGUCUUGACAUCCACGGAAGUUUUCAGAGAUGAGAAUGUGCCUUCGGGAACCGUGAGACAGGUGCUGCAUGGCUGUCGUCAGCUCGUGUUGUGAAAUGUUGGGUUAAGUCCCGCAACGAGCGCAACCCUUAUCCUUUGUUGCCAGCGGUCCGGCCGGGAACUCAAAGGAGACUGCCAGUGAUAAACUGGAGGAAGGUGGGGACGACGUCAAGUCAUCAUGGCCCUUACGACCAGGGCUACACACGUGCUACAAUGGCGCAUACAAAGAGAAGCGACCUCGCGAGAGCAAGCGGACCUCAUAAAGUGCGUCGUAGUCCGGAUUGGAGUCUGCAACUCGACUCCAUGAAGUCGGAAUCGCUAGUAAUCGUGGAUCAGAAUGCCACGGUGAAUACGUUCCCGGGCCUUGUACACACCGCCCGUCACACCAUGGGAGUGGGUUGCAAAAGAAGUAGGUAGCUUAACCUUCGGGAGGGCGCUUACCACUUUGUGAUUCAUGACUGGGGUGAAGUCGUAACAAGGUAACCGUAGGGGAACCUGCGGUUGGAUCACCUCCUUACCUUAAAGAAGC